AAGAUUCUAGUUAAAAUUAUAACCCUGCCUUGUCAAGGCAAAAUUGUGGGUUAAACUCCCACGUAUCUUG
Molecule: transfer RNA, 70 nt
Filed under: Oryzias latipes (Japanese medaka)
Lineage: Eukaryota; Metazoa; Chordata; Actinopteri; Beloniformes; Adrianichthyidae
Description: tRNA-Asp
Rfam family: tRNA
About the family: Transfer RNA (tRNA) molecules are approximately 80 nucleotides in length. Their secondary structure includes four short double-helical elements and three loops (D, anti-codon, and T loops). Further hydrogen bonds mediate the characteristic L-shaped molecular structure. tRNAs have two regions of fundamental functional importance: the anti-codon, which is responsible for specific mRNA codon recognition, and the 3' end, to which the tRNAs corresponding amino acid is attached (by aminoacyl-tRNA synthetases). tRNAs cope with the degeneracy of the genetic code in two manners: having more than one tRNA (with a specific anti-codon) for a particular amino acid; and 'wobble' base-pairing, i.e. permitting non-standard base-pairing at the 3rd anti-codon position.
Source: RNAcentral